GGAAUUUUCCGCAAUGGGCGAAAGCCUGACGGAGCAACGCCGCGUGAGGGAUGAAGGCCUCUGGGCUGUAAACCUCUUUUAUCAAGGAAGAAGAUCUGACGGUACUUGAUGAAUAAGCCACGGCUAAUUCCGUGCCAGCAGCCGCGGUAAUACGGGAGUGGCAAGCGUUAUCCGGAAUUAUUGGGCGUAAAGCGUCCGCAGGCGGUCUGUCAAGUCUGCUGCUAAAGCGUGGAGCUUAACUCCAUUUCGGCAGUGGAAACUGACAGACUAGAGUGUGGUAGGGGCAGAGGGAAUUCCCGGUGUAGCGGUGAAAUGCGUAGAUAUCGGGAAGAACACCAGUGGCGAAGGCGCUCUGCUGGGCCAUAACUGACGCUCAUGGACGAAAGCCAGGGGAGCGAAAGGGAUUAGAUACCCCUGUAGUC
RNAcentral lists this ribosomal RNA (422 nucleotides) under uncultured cyanobacterium. RNAcentral's name for it is "bacterial SSU rRNA". It matches the Rfam family "Bacterial small subunit ribosomal RNA", at positions 358 to 795 of the family's 1533-position model. Lineage: Bacteria; Bacillati; Cyanobacteriota. The record is from RNAcentral.